RNAcentral lists this long non-coding RNA (295 nucleotides) under Brassica rapa (field mustard). RNAcentral's name for it is "long non-coding RNA (BRAP_LNC005003)". Lineage: Eukaryota; Viridiplantae; Streptophyta; Magnoliopsida; Brassicales; Brassicaceae. The record is from RNAcentral.
CCUUCUUCCUUUAGCCACAAGGCCAAUGCUUCGACAACUUCAUCAUCUUCCUCAUAUUCAUCGUUGCUUGCUCUGCCUCAAUUCCUCUGUACACCGUGUUCAUCAGGCUUUACACAGUUCAAGCUUCACGCCAAAUUAGGUACUUUAUAUCUCUUUCAAAUCAGGAUUUUCCUAUCUAUUUUUUUUUAUUAAGAGAAAGACUUUCUUUAUACCUGAUCCUGCUUAAGGUGGAGGAGAUGGAGAAGUGAAACCUAAAGAAAAGAAGAAGUUCAUAACCAAAGAAGAAGAACCAGAG